Molecule: long non-coding RNA, 903 nt
Organism: Scylla paramamosain (green mud crab)
Lineage: Eukaryota; Metazoa; Arthropoda; Malacostraca; Decapoda; Portunidae
Exons: 3
Source: RefSeq, a predicted model, not a curated record
UAUUAUAACAUAAUGGUACCUAUACAAAUAUGAAGUUAUGAAAAUUCUGGAUGAGUAUAUUAAUCCCCCAACACUAUUUCUCUCCUGCACCUUCUGUAUAGAUUGAUGUGACGUGUACCUCACUGAUAAUGCAUUACUGUCAUUGUCUUCUCCAGCAGAACGAAGACGAGACUCAGCCAGGGCACUGCAUCUCACAGACUCUUUGGUCCAGCCUGCCAGAUGAUGGUUUUUAUACAUUGCCCAGUGUAGGGAGGAAGAGGAAGCCCAGUUGGGAAUCCAUACUGCAAGACAUCAGUUGAAGGAUGAACAGAAUUAAAGUAUUUACCAUGGUCAUCAUCCUGCCCGUCUUUGAGCGCGACUUGGCCGUGAGUGACGCCUGCAGGCGACCAGUGGGUUAACCACACUCUACUAACAAGAUUGAUGCAGGAGAGUGAAGGACUGCUGACUGCCUUGAUGCAAGAAAGCUUAGGCCACCACUUCACUCCUGCCUUGACAGCAGAUUUGUGCUCCAGUUCACCAGUCCCUUCAACCCAGGGGAGCCGGGAGGGACCAGCAGGUGACCAGUGCAGGAGCACAAUGGGCUGGCAGGAGUUGAAGCCGUGCUGAAGGAGAGAUGCAGUGGAUGAUGAACCCUGGUGCUGGUCUCGGCAGAAAUGGGUCUUCUAUUGUCACAGAUGUAGUGAAGAAUGAACCAGGUGACAGUCAACUGUCCUCAAGUGAGUGAAGUCAUUGGGCCAGGAUAGUUGAAGAGGACCCAGCUCUGUUCAGCUCUGUCAACCCUGUGUCUUCAAGUACAAGUGGAGUGACUGAAGUGAAAUGGGUGGCCUUUAUCAUCACACAGUUGGUGAACGUUGCAGGACCUGAGUCACACAUCAGCCCAGCACUGCAUGGGAAAUGGUCUAG